This 257-nucleotide ribosomal RNA is filed under the name uncultured bacterium. Its description in RNAcentral is "partial 16S ribosomal RNA". It matches the Rfam family "Bacterial small subunit ribosomal RNA", at positions 524 to 776 of the family's 1533-position model. The record is from RNAcentral.
UACGAAGGGGGCUAGCGUUGCUCGGAAUUACUGGGCGUAAAGCGCACGUAGGCGGCUUCUUAAGUCGGUGGUGAAAUCCUGGAGCUCAACUCCAGAACUGCCUUCGAUACUGGGAAGCUCGAGUCCGGGAGAGGUGAGUGGAACUGCGAGUGUAGAGGUGAAAUUCGUAGAUAUUCGACAAGAACACCAGUGGCGAAGGCGGCUGUCUGGUCCGGGUUCUGACGCUGAGGCGCGAAAAGCGUGGGGGAGCAAACAGG